This 423-nucleotide ribosomal RNA is filed under the name uncultured bacterium. Its description in RNAcentral is "bacterial SSU rRNA". It matches the Rfam family "Bacterial small subunit ribosomal RNA", at positions 355 to 775 of the family's 1533-position model. The record is from RNAcentral.
UGAGGAAUAUUGGUCAAUGGGCGAGAGCCUGAACCAGCCAAGUAGCGUGAAGGAUGACUGCCCUAUGGGUUGUAAACUUCUUUUAUAAAGGAAUAAAGUCGGGUAUGGAUACCCGUUUGCAUGUACUUUAUGAAUAAGGAUCGGCUAACUCCGUGCCAGCAGCCGCGGUAAUACGGAGGAUCCGAGCGUUAUCCGGAUUUAUUGGGUUUAAAGGGAGCGUAGGUGGACAGUUAAGUCAGUUGUGAAAGUUUGCGGCUCAACCGUAAAAUUGCAGUUGAUACUGGCUGUCUUGGGUGCGGUUGAGGCAGGCGGAAUUCGUGGUGUAGCGGUGAAAUGCUUAGAUAUCACGAAGAACUCCGAUUGCGAAGGCAGCCUGCUAAGCUGCAACUGACAUUGAGGCUCGAAAGUGUGGGUAUCAACAGG